AUUAGAAGCUGUUGCCCCCAUCAAAUUGAAAAAGGUUAGAGAAAAACGUACUGCGCCAUGGUACAACAGUAAUACCCAUUCUCUCAAGAA
Long non-coding RNA from Sinocyclocheilus grahami, 90 nucleotides. RefSeq lists it as uncharacterized. Lineage: Eukaryota; Metazoa; Chordata; Actinopteri; Cypriniformes; Cyprinidae. The record is from RefSeq and is a predicted model, not a curated record. The transcript is spliced from 2 exons.